AGAUUGAACGCUGGCGGCAUGCCUAACACAUGCAAGUCGAACGGGAGUAGCAAUACUCUAGUGGCGGACGGGUGAGGAAUACGUAGGAAUUUGCCCUUAAGUGGGGAUAACCCGGGAAACCCGGAUUAAUACCGCAUGACCUCGAAAGAGCAAAGUGGGGGAUCGCAAGACCUCACGCUUUUGGAGAAGCCUACGUCGGAUUAGCUAGUUGGUGAGGUAAUGGCUCACCAAGGCGACGAUCCGUAACUGGUCUGAGAGGAUGAUCAGUCACACCGGAACUGAGACACGGUCCCGGACUCCACGGGAGGCAGCAGUGGGAAUAUUGGACAAGUGGCGCAAGGCCUGAUCCAGCGAAUGCCGCGUGGUGUGAAGAAGGCCUUCGGGUUAGUAAAGACGAACUUUAAAGUUAGGAAAGUAAAAAACGUACGACUAC
This 433-nucleotide ribosomal RNA is filed under the name uncultured soil bacterium. RNAcentral describes it as "bacterial SSU rRNA". It matches the Rfam family "Bacterial small subunit ribosomal RNA", at positions 26 to 467 of the family's 1533-position model. The record is from RNAcentral.